GGGUUGUGAGGUUAAGCGACUAAGCGUACACGGUGGAUGCCCUGGCAGUCAGAGGCGAUGAAGGACGUGCUAAUCUGCGAUAAGCGUCGGUAAGGUGAUAUGAACCGUUAUAACCGGCGAUUUCCGAAUGGGGAAACCCAGUGUGAUUCGUCACACUAUCAUUAACUGAAUCCAUAGGUUAAUGAGGCGAACCGGGGGAACUGAAACAUCUAAGUACCCCGAGGAAAAGAAAUCAACCGAGAUUCCCCCAGUAGCGGCGAGCGAACGGGGAGCAGCCCAGAGCCUGAAUCAGUGUGUGUGUUAGUGGAAGCGUCUGGAAAGGCGCGCGAUACAGGGUGACAGCCCCGUACACAAAAAUGCACAUGCUGUGAGCUCGAUGAGUAGGGCGGGACACGUGGUAUCCUGUCUGAAUAUGGGGGGACCAUCCUCCAAGGCUAAAUACUCCUGACUGACCGAUAGUGAACCAGUACCGUGAGGGAAAGGCGAAAAGAACCCCGGCGAGGGGAGUGAAAAAGAACCUGAAACCGUGUACGUACAAGCAGUGGGAGCCUCUUUAUGGGGUGACUGCGUACCUUUUGUAUAAUGGGUCAGCGACUUAUAUUCUGUAGCAAGGUUAACCGAAUAGGGGAGCCGAAGGGAAACCGAGUCUUAACUGGGCGUUAAGUUGCAGGGUAUAGACCCGAAACCCGGUGAUCUAGCCAUGGGCAGGUUGAAGGUUGGGUAACACUAACUGGAGGACCGAACCGACUAAUGUUGAAAAAUUAGCGGAUGACUUGUGGCUGGGGGUGAAAGGCCAAUCAAACCGGGAGAUAGCUGGUUCUCCCCGAAAGCUAUUUAGGUAGCGCCUCGUGAAUUCAUCUCCGGGGGUAGAGCACUGUUUCGGCAAGGGGGUCAUCCCGACUUACCAACCCGAUGCAAACUGCGAAUACCGGAGAAUGUUAUCACGGGAGACACACGGCGGGUGCUAACGUCCGUCGUGAAGAGGGAAACAACCCAGACCGCCAGCUAAGGUCCCAAAGUCAUGGUUAAGUGGGAAACGAUGUGGGAAGGCCCAGACAGCCAGGAUGUUGGCUUAGAAGCAGCCAUCAUUUAAAGAAAGCGUAAUAGCUCACUGGUCGAGUCGGCCUGCGCGGAAGAUGUAACGGGGCUAAACCAUGCACCGAAGCUGCGGCAGCGACACUAUGUGUUGUUGGGUAGGGGAGCGUUCUGUAAGCCUGUGAAGGUGGCCUGUGAGGGUUGCUGGAGGUAUCAGAAGUGCGAAUGCUGACAUAAGUAACGAUAAAGCGGGUGAAAAGCCCGCUCGCCGGAAGACCAAGGGUUCCUGUCCAACGUUAAUCGGGGCAGGGUGAGUCGACCCCUAAGGCGAGGCCGAAAGGCGUAGUCGAUGGGAAACAGGUUAAUAUUCCUGUACUUGGUGUUACUGCGAAGGGGGGACGGAGAAGGCUAUGUUGGCCGGGCGACGGUUGUCCCGGUUUAAGCGUGUAGGCUGGUUUUCCAGGCAAAUCCGGAAAAUCAAGGCUGAGGCGUGAUGACGAGGCACUACGGUGCUGAAGCAACAAAUGCCCUGCUUCCAGGAAAAGCCUCUAAGCAUCAGGUAACAUCAAAUCGUACCCCAAACCGACACAGGUGGUCAGGUAGAGAAUACCAAGGCGCUUGAGAGAACUCGGGUGAAGGAACUAGGCAAAAUGGUGCCGUAACUUCGGGAGAAGGCACGCUGAUACGUAGGUGAAGUCCCUCGCGGAUGGAGCUGAAAUCAGUCGAAGAUACCAGCUGGCUGCAACUGUUUAUUAAAAACACAGCACUGUGCAAACACGAAAGUGGACGUAUACGGUGUGACGCCUGCCCGGUGCCGGAAGGUUAAUUGAUGGGGUUAGCGGUAACGCGAAGCUCUUGAUCGAAGCCCCGGUAAACGGCGGCCGUAACUAUAACGGUCCUAAGGUAGCGAAAUUCCUUGUCGGGUAAGUUCCGACCUGCACGAAUGGCGUAAUGAUGGCCAGGCUGUCUCCACCCGAGACUCAGUGAAAUUGAACUCGCUGUGAAGAUGCAGUGUACCCGCGGCAAGACGGAAAGACCCCGUGAACCUUUACUAUAGCUUGACACUGAACAUUGAGCCUUGAUGUGUAGGAUAGGUGGGAGGCUUUGAAGUGUGGACGCCAGUCUGCAUGGAGCCGACCUUGAAAUACCACCCUUUAAUGUUUGAUGUUCUAACGUUGGCCCCUAAUCGGGGUUGCGGACAGUGUCUGGUGGGUAGUUUGACUGGGGCGGUCUCCUCCUAAAGAGUAACGGAGGAGCACGAAGGUUGGCUAAUCCUGGUCGGACAUCAGGAGGUUAGUGCAAUGGCAUAAGCCAGCUUGACUGCGAGCGUGACGGCGCGAGCAGGUGCGAAAGCAGGUCAUAGUGAUCCGGUGGUUCUGAAUGGAAGGGCCAUCGCUCAACGGAUAAAAGGUACUCCGGGGAUAACAGGCUGAUACCGCCCAAGAGUUCAUAUCGACGGCGGUGUUUGGCACCUCGAUGUCGGCUCAUCACAUCCUGGGGCUGAAGUAGGUCCCAAGGGUAUGGCUGUUCGCCAUUUAAAGUGGUACGCGAGCUGGGUUUAGAACGUCGUGAGACAGUUCGGUCCCUAUCUGCCGUGGGCGCUGGAGAACUGAGGGGGGCUGCUCCUAGUACGAGAGGACCGGAGUGGACGCAUCACUGGUGUUCGGGUUGUCAUGCCAAUGGCACUGCCCGGUAGCUAAAUGCGGAAGAGAUAAGUGCUGAAAGCAUCUAAGCACGAAACUUGCCCCGAGAUGAGUUCUCCCUGACUCCUUGAGAGUCCUGAAGGAACGUUGAAGACGACGACGUUGAUAGGCCGGGUGUGUAAGCGCAGCGAUGCGUUGAGCUAACCGGUACUAAUGAACCGUGAGGCUUAACCUUACAACGCCGAAG
Molecule: ribosomal RNA, 2925 nt
Filed under: Escherichia coli
Lineage: Bacteria; Pseudomonadati; Pseudomonadota; Gammaproteobacteria; Enterobacterales; Enterobacteriaceae
Description: 23S ribosomal RNA
Rfam family: Bacterial large subunit ribosomal RNA
Source: RNAcentral